This 399-nucleotide long non-coding RNA is filed under the name Carica papaya (papaya). RNAcentral describes it as "long non-coding RNA (CPAP_LNC008605)". The record is from RNAcentral. Lineage: Eukaryota; Viridiplantae; Streptophyta; Magnoliopsida; Brassicales; Caricaceae.
GCAAUAACAACCACUUUCCUUUUUCAUUUGCCUACUGGUAUCCUUGAGAGCCCAUAAGGAUGUCCCACUACACGUGAACCAAUAUUUAAUAUUGUCAACUAACCGGCCGUCCCCAUACCCCGUCCGAUAUGAGCGCCAAAAUUAUCAUCCGUCAAUACUCCGUCCGAUAUAAGGAUGAAUCGGACCGUUCCCAUACCUCGUCCUGUAUGAGUGUCAAAAUACCAUUUAUCAAUACCUCGUUCAGUAUGAGACAACGUUCACGAUAGGAUUUUCUAUAUACCCGGUCCGUCUACCACCUCCCAGAAUAUCCAGUAAGGCUACCAUUCAUUAAUUCACAUGACCAAAUAAUUUUUCGUUUGCAUAUCAAUUUUUAAUUCCACAAAUCAACCGUAAAUCAUG